GCCUCCAUAGCUCAAUUGGCAGAGCAACUGACUCUUAAUCAGUAGGUUCAAGGUUCGAGUCCUUGUGGAGGCA
Molecule: transfer RNA, 73 nt
Filed under: Planctomycetota bacterium
Lineage: Bacteria; Pseudomonadati; Planctomycetota
Description: Planctomycetes bacterium tRNA-Lys
Rfam family: tRNA
About the family: Transfer RNA (tRNA) molecules are approximately 80 nucleotides in length.
Source: RNAcentral